Molecule: ribosomal RNA, 454 nt
Filed under: uncultured bacterium
Lineage: Bacteria
Description: bacterial SSU rRNA
Rfam family: Bacterial small subunit ribosomal RNA
Source: RNAcentral
ACUCCUACGGGAGGCAGCAGUGGGGAAUAUUGCACAAUGGGGCGCAAGCCUGAUGCAGCAACGCCGUGUGAGUGAAGAAGGUUUUCGGAUCGUAAAACUCUGUCCUAAGGGAAGAAACAAAUGACGGUACCUUAGGAGGAAGCCCCGGCUAACUACGUGCCAGCAGCCGCGGUAAUACGUAGGGGGCAAGCGUUAUCCGGAAUCACUGGGCGUAAAGGGUGCGUAGGCGGCUUAGCAAGCCAGGGGUGAAAGGCAUUGGCUCAACCAAUGUAAGCCUUUGGAACUGUUAGGCUUGAGUGCAGGAGAGGUAAAGUGGAAUUCCUAGUGUAGAGGUGAAAUUCGGUAGAUAUUAGGAGGAACACCAGUGGCGAAGGCGACUUACUGGACUGUAACUGACGCUGAUGCACGAAAGCGUGGGUAGCGAACAGGAUUAGAUACCCUGGUAGCGACAGAG